ACGGACACGCAUGACUAUGAAGUCAAAAUGCGAAACGUGUUCAAGUUUCUUGAAAACGGCGACAAGGUCAAAGUCACCUUGCGAUUUCGGGGUCGCGAAAUGGCGCACCAGAAUUUGGGGCGUGAAUUGCUGGAACGGGUCGCCGAGGACACCAAGGAAAUCGGGCGGAUCGAGAACUUUCCGAAAAUGGAAGGCCGCCAGAUGAUAAUGCUGAUCGGCCCCCUGCCGAACAAGUAGAGACGACACCAGGAACUUUAUGUUCUGCCAGGUAGACAAUAAUCAAGAUCCCUGUCUUCGGACGGGGA
Molecule: unclassified non-coding RNA, 305 nt
Filed under: Sedimentitalea nanhaiensis
Lineage: Bacteria; Pseudomonadati; Pseudomonadota; Alphaproteobacteria; Rhodobacterales; Paracoccaceae
Description: Long range pseudoknot
Source: RNAcentral